UUUCUCAUGAGCGUUUGUUACUUACCUGUCAUCGGCAGUUCUCAGUGUUUAGAUGUGGCCCCCAGUCGUCAGCCUGCACGCGUGGACUGCUGCCAGAUCUCGAUGGGCCGUGAGCUGCCCUGUCGGUUGCCUUGGUGUUCAAACUGCAGAUUCACCAGGGGGGCCUGUCAAGCCGUGCUGUCCCGGCUGCGUGCCCCGUCGUUAAGGUUUUGAGCACUUCCCUGCUUCCUGGCACAAGGAGUCCCACCCAGGCUCCUCGGGCCUCUCUGUCUCCACCCUGGAGUCGGCCGUUUGGAGGGCCCGGGCUCCUUCUGGCAGGAACUGGUUUCAGAGACCGAUAUCUGGGUGCACAGUGCACGAUAUCUGCACAAUGUGCACAGUGUGCUCACUGCUAUCAGGACGCCCGUGUUUCUCGGCCCUUUCUUCGGAGAGAGAGGACAGGCGCGCCUGCACGUGGGCACACGCUUAUGCACGUGCACAGGCGUGAGAGGUCACGGCACCAGCUGACACCUCCAGUUCCACCCCAUCUCUGUGGGCGUGUGUUUGCCUCCCUCAUUCCACGUCUGCAUGUCCUCUCCCUGCAGUGAGAAUCCUGACCCCGACAACAUCAACGUACGUUUGACCCGUGUCAAGGGACACCGACCCCCACGCAGUCGGAAAUCCGCAUAUAACCUUUGACCCCCCCCCCCGCCAAGGCUUAACUACUAAUAGCUCCUGUUGAGUGGAAGAUUUACCCAUAACAUGAACGGUCGAUGACACAUAUCUAUAUGUUACAUGUCAGAUGCUGUAUUCUUUCAAUUAUGUAAGCUACAGAAAAGAAAAUGUUAAUUAAGAAAAUCAUAGGGGGACUUCCCUGGUGAUCCAGUGGUUAAGACUUUGCCUUCCAGUGCAGGGGGUGCGGGUUCGAUCCCUGGUCGGGGAGCUGAGAUCCCACAUGCCUCGCAGCCAAAAAACCAAAAACAUAAGCAAUAUUGUAACAAAUUCAGUAAAAAAAAGAAAUCAUAGGGAAUUCCCUUGCGGUCCAGUGGUUAGGACUCUGUGCUUCCACUGCUGGGGGCCUGGGUUUGAUCCCCGAUUGGGUAACUAAGAUCCUGCAAGCUGCGCGGCGGGCCAAAAAAAAAAAAAAGAAAAUCAUAAAAAAGAAAAUAUUUAUAGUACUGUACUGUGUUUAUCAACAGCAUGAGUUUUCGUCAUCUGUUUCCAAGAUGAAUAAUCAGUACCUACAUCAUUAUUGUCUUAGACGACACGAAAGGCUGUAGAUGUUACACAUGUAACUCAUACUAGACAUCAAUAAUGAAAAGGUAACGUGAAAAGGAAAUUCACAUUUAUUUACAGGCACAACGAUAUGUGCAUUGAUGAUGAAGCAGCAGCAACAUGACUGCUUUAUGGCUGCCUAGUGUGAUCGAUACGAUCGCUCCCAGGCAGCCCGGCCUGUACACUAAUGGAUGGGUCGUCAUAAAAAUUUUAUGGCUUAUAGUAUUGCAGUCAUAUUCAUAAUACAGUAUUGGGAACAUUGUCACAUUAAAAAGAAAACCUACGAUGAUAGACUGUUACACAGUUUCUCCAAUUACGAGUCAGGGAGACUACCUAAUUCUUUGAAAGCAAAGUUAUAAAAAGCACAUUAACUUUAUACUUAGUAUCACUCAGCUUAUGCCUAUGUGAGGAUGGACUGUCCACUUCAAUAUGUGUCUUACAUGGUGUACAGCUGUUAGGCUUUCACAUCGAGGCACACAACAGAGGUCUCUGAACCGCAGCGUGAUGAUUGUUCACUGUGCGUUAGGUGGAGGCGGGUCGUCACAGGUCUUCAUCCCCCUGGUCCUCACGCUGAGACUGGGGAGGAGGAAGCGGAGGGGAGGCCUUGCUGUCUCCGGCGGCAGAGCCGUGGGGGGUGGAAGCAGGGGAGGCCGGUGCACUUGGUGAACUUGGCAGAAACACAUCAGUCUCUGCCCGACUUUUUUGCUUUCUCAUUUCUCUAGAGUGUUUCUGUCUACUACCAAUCCUUCCACCGUUUGCUUUAGCUUCAGUACCCGUAUCACGGAAGGGUCCAUAUUGUAAAACAAGUCAAAAGUCGUCUUGACUCAUUGGAACUGUUCUGCCAGGCAGUCUGAUGUCAGUUUGUUUCCUGGCGCUGCUUCUUCUGCACCUGUCUCAUCGUCUGCCUCCAGAAGCCCUCAUCUAUCUCCAUCAGGUUGUCUUCUGUGGGUUCCUCCGGUGUGCUGCCUAGUAGCCCUUGAAUUUUUUUCUUUUUUUUAGACUGUGCCACGUGGCUUGUGGAAUCUUAGCUCCCCAACCAGGGAUCGAACCCAGGCCCCUUGUAGUGGAAGCUCGGAGUCCUAACCACUGGACCACCAGGGAAGUCCCAGUCCUUUAAGUUCUUGAAGACCCAUAUCUCGGAACCGUUCACCCCCGCCCCGCGCCCACUUUAUUUGCGAAACCCACAAUCUCUUUCAUGAUUUCCUUGAUUGAUUGAUUUAUUUUUGGCUGUGUUGGGUCUUUGUUGCUGUGCGUGGGGUUCCUCUAGCUGCGGUGCGUGGGCUUCUCAUUGCAACAGCUUCUUGUUGCGGAGCAUGGGCUCUAGGCGUGUGGGCUUCAGUAGUUGUGCCAUGUGGGCUCAGUAGCUGUGGCUCACGGGCUCUAGAGUGCAGGCUCAGUAGUUGUGGCAUGUGGGCUUAGUUGCUCCGCGGCAUGUGGGAUCUUCCCGGACCAGGGCUUGAACCCGUGUCCCCUUCACUGGCAGGCGGAUUCUUAACCACUGCACCGCCAGGGAAGCCCCCCAUGAUUUCCUUGAUUGUGUCAUAAAUCCUGUGAAGUCAUGCACAGCAUCUGGACGGUUCUCCAGCAGGAAUGUAUUGUUGUGGGCUUGAUGGCUCUCACGGCUUUUUUUUUUUUUUUUUUUAAUAACAGCGAUGUCAUCCUCAGUGGUAUGAUCCUCCCAGACUCUCAGACUCUCACGACGUUCUCUGUAUCAGGGUUCUCUUCCAUAGCGUUGACGCUCCUUUCCGCACAGUGUCGUGUGUAAUGAGCCUUGAAGGUCCUAUGGCCCCCUGACCUAGAGACUGAAUAGAGACAUUGUGUCUGGGGGCAAGCAGACCACUUCAGCGCCUUCGGUGUUGCACUCAUGGAGUUCUGGGCGGGCAGGCGCGUUGCCCAGUAUCAAAAGAACUGUAAAAGGCAGUCCCUUCCUGACAAGGUGCUUCCUGAAUUCAGGGACAAGGAAUCGAUGGAACCGGUUGCCCAGGCCCUUUUGAUGUCCAGUCAAAGACCGGCAGCUGCUGCUCCUCUUCUCCCUGCAAGGCUGGGGGUCAGCGGCUUUACAGAUGAGCGCGGUCCUGGCCGUAAACCCGAUCACGUUUGUGCAGGAUAAUCGAGACAGCCCAUUCCUUCCUGCCUUAAAUCCUGCUGCUUGAUCCUCCUUACUGAGGAAUGUCCUUUGUGGCAUUUUUUCCCAGAAUAGGGCAGUUUCAUCUGUAUUAAAAGCUUGUUCAGGCAGAUGUCCUUUCUACCCAAUGAUUUUCUUCACAGCGUCUGAGAACGUGUCUGCGCCGCCUCUCCCGUUACCUUGACAUUUUAAAGCCAAAUCUCUUUCUAAAAUCAUCAAACCAUCCUUUGCUGGCAUUCAAGUCUCCAGCUUUACAACCUUCCCCUCACUUUCGCUUAAGUUGUAUGAUGACUUUGCUUUUUCUCGAAUCAUUCUUAGAUUCUAUAUAGGUGCACCUUUCUUAUGGCAAUCCUGCGCCCGCCUAAAAGCUGCUUUUUCAAAUAAAAAGGUAUUUCACAAGAAGUGCAAGGCUUUCUGCCUGCUGGUGUAGCUGCAGUGCCAGCUUCAUGGAUUUCCUUUCCUUUUUUACAUUCAUCUUGAAGUGGCGGCAGCCGCAGCUGCAGACCUCACUCUGCGACGCACAUCAAGCCAUUCAGCUUUUUCUCUUCACGUCUUCCUCUUCUCUGCGUCUUGGGAGCGCUUGCAGCAUUGCCAGGGCACUUCGUGGGUCCCGUGGUGGUGGUCAAGGUUCCCGGUGUUGCACUAAAUACAAUGAAAUAAUCCGCAAGAACCACAAGAGACUGCGGUUUACUGGAGAGACCACCUGCUCCGGAGCGGGGGAGCGCACACGGCGCUCGCUGUAGGCGGACGCGGGGAAUACGCGCGCCGGAAGCAGCAGCAGGGGUGACUGCAGCAUUAUUACUGUACGUGCUACAGUUAAUUCAUGCAGUGAGGACUUCGUACGGCAUCUUUACGUUUGCUUCCUUUCUCUGCACUUCAAAUGGAGCCAUGUGUUGUGUGCCUCAGGCCACAUGGCUCAUCUGUGAGUUUUUUGAAGCUGUCAAAAGUCUCCAAAAACUUUUCCAAUAUAUUGAAAACAAUCCACGUAUGAGUGGACCGUGCAGUUCGAACCUGUGUUGUUCAAGGGUCAACUGUGAUUGCUCAAGAUGAUAAAUAGUUUCGGGAUCCCUUUGCCAUACAAACAAGACGUCUGGAUUCAUGCACUUUGCUCCCUUGCCCACGACUGUCAAUACUGCAUUUAUAAAUUCCUUGGAUUACCCA
Long non-coding RNA from Lagenorhynchus albirostris (white-beaked dolphin), 4540 nucleotides. RefSeq lists it as uncharacterized. NCBI's taxonomy places the organism in Eukaryota, Metazoa, Chordata, Mammalia, Artiodactyla, Delphinidae. The record is from RefSeq and is a predicted model, not a curated record. The transcript is spliced from 2 exons.